ACCAAGCACGCACAUAGGGGAGUGUCUCAGGGACAAUCACAGUGCUGGCCCUGCCCUCCCUCAUUCAGCAGGGAAUCAGAAGUGGCUGAAAUUCCAGGCAGGGGUCUUGGACUUUGGAAGGGAUUUUCUUUGCUACAGCAUUGUUCAUGGUCUUCACUGGAACCCUGUGAGACAACCUUCAAUAGUGCUGUAGAACUCUAAGGAUGAGCUUCCUGAGUUACCCCAAAGAUGUUCUAAUGCAAAAAGCCAGCACGAGGAGGAGGAGUUCAAACAGCUAAGCCAGGGAAAAAGCAUCUCCAACCAGAAGGAAAAUAACACAAAAGAGGAAGCCACAAGAAUCCUAAAGGGCAUCAAUCCAAUAGAACUGGUGCUGGCUAAUGGCCAUAGCCCAGAUGGACUUGAUCAGUGCUGGACACGCGUACCACGUGUGCACUGCGAUGCCG
This is a long non-coding RNA of Odocoileus virginianus texanus, 443 nucleotides long. RefSeq lists it as uncharacterized. NCBI's taxonomy places the organism in Eukaryota, Metazoa, Chordata, Mammalia, Artiodactyla, Cervidae. The record is from RefSeq and is a predicted model, not a curated record.